CUGACCGUGCGAAGGUAGCGCAAUCACUUGUCCCUUAAAUGAGGACCUGUAUGAAUGGCACAACGAGGGCUUAACUGUCUCCUUUCCCCGGCCAAUGAAAUUGAUCUUCCCGUGCAGAAGCGGGAAUACUAACAUAAGACGAGAAGACCCUAUGGAGCUUUAGACGCCAGAACAGACCAUGUCAACUACUUCCUCAACAUAAAUAGCAAUAAUUGAGCCCCUGUUCCCCGUCUUUGGUUGGGGCGACCACGGGGAACAAGAAAACCCCCAUGUGGAUCGGGAGCACACCUACUCCUAGAACCACGAGCAACUGCUCUAAAUUACAGAACUUCUGACCAAAAAGAUCCGGCAACGCCGAUCAACGAAUCCAGUUACCCUAGGGAUAACAGCGCAAUCCUCUUC
This 402-nucleotide ribosomal RNA is filed under the name Mugil curema (white mullet). RNAcentral describes it as "partial 16S ribosomal RNA". It matches the Rfam family "Bacterial large subunit ribosomal RNA", at positions 1942 to 2493 of the family's 2925-position model. Lineage: Eukaryota; Metazoa; Chordata; Actinopteri; Mugiliformes; Mugilidae. The record is from RNAcentral.